AAAAUCCGGGCGCGGAAUUCAAGGGUGCGAGGCGAGCGGCUUAGGCCGCGAAGCAAUCGGAAGUGGUUCCAAGAAAAGCCUCUAAGCUUCAGUCUAACAAGACCGUACCGCAAACCGACACAGGUGGGCGAGAUGAGUAUUCUAAGGCGCUUGAGAGAACUCGGGAGAAGGAACUCGGCAAAUUGGUACCGUAACUUCGGGAUAAGGUACGCCCUUGUAGCUUGACUGGCCUGCGCCAGGAGGGUGAGAGGGUUGCAAUAAACUGGUGGCUGCGACUGUUUAAUAAAAACACAGCACUCUGCAAACACGAAAGUGGACGUAUAGGGUGUGACGCCUGCCCGGUGCCGGAAGAUUAAAUGAUGGGGUGCAAGCUCUUGAUUGAAGUCCCGGUAAACGGCGGCCGUAACGAUAACGGUCCUAAGGUAGCGAAAUUCCUUGUCGGGUAAGUUCCGACCUCACGAAUGGCGUAACGAUGGCCACACUGUCUCCUCCCGAGACUCAGCGAAGUUGAAGUGUUUGUGAUGAUGCAAUCUCCCCGCGGCUAGACGGAAAGACCCCAUGAACCUUUACUGUAGCUUUGCAUUGGACUUUGAACCGAUCUGUGUAGGAUAGGUGGGAGGCUAUGAAACCGGAACGCUAGUUUCGGUGGAGCCGUCCUUGAAAUACCACCCUGGUUUGUUUGAGGUUCUAACCUUGGUCCGUUAUCCGGACUGGGGACAGUGCAUGGUAGGCAGUUUGACUGGGGCGGUCUCCUCCCAAAGUGUAACGGAGGAGUACGAAGGUACGCUAGGUACGGUCGGAAAUCGUGCUGAUAGUGCAAUGGCAUAAGCGUGCUUAACUGCGAGACCGACAAGUCGAGCAGGUGCGAAAGCAGGUCAUAGUGAUCCGGUGGUUCUGUAUGGAAGGGCCAUCGCUCAACGGAUAAAAGGUACUCUGGGGAUAACAGGCUGAUACCGCCCAAGAGUUCAUAUCGACGGCGGUGUUUGGCACCUCGAUGUCGGCUCAUCUCAUCCUGGGGCUGUAGCCGGUCCCAAGGGUAUGGCUGUUCGCCAUUUAAAGAGGUACGUGAGCUGGGUUUAAAACGUCGUGAGACAGUUUGGUCCCUAUCUGCCGUGGGCGUUGGAUAUUUGAAGGGGGCUGCUCCUAGUACGAGAGGACCGGAGUGGACGAACCUCUGGUGUACCGGUUGUCACGCCAGUGGCAUCGCCGGGUAGCUAUGUUCGGAAGAGAUAACCGCUGAAAGCAUCUAAGCGGGAAACUCAAAA
Molecule: ribosomal RNA, 1265 nt
Filed under: metagenome
Description: bacterial LSU rRNA
Rfam family: Bacterial large subunit ribosomal RNA
Source: RNAcentral